CCUACGGGAGGCAGCAGUGAGGAAUAUUGGUCAAUGGACGCAAGUCUGAACCAGCCAUGCCGCGUGCAGGAAGACGGCUCUAUGAGUUGUAAACUGCUUUUGUACGAGGGUAAACGCAGAUACGCGUAUCUGUCUGAAAGUAUCGUACGAAUAAGGAUCGGCUAACUCCGUGCCAGCAGCCGCGGUAAUACGGAGGAUUCAAGCGUUAUCCGGAUUUAUUGGGUUUAAAGGGUGCGUAGGCGGUCGGAUAAGUUAGAUGUGAAAUCCCGAGGCUCAACUUCGGGAUUGCCUCUGAUACUGUUCGGCGAGAGAGUAGUUGCGGUAGGCGGAAUGUAUGGUGUAGCGGUGAAAUGCUUAGAGAUCAUACGGAACACCGAUUGCGAAGGCAGCUUACCAAGCUACUUCUGACGUUGAGGCACGAAAGCGUGGGGAGCAAACAGGAUUAGAUACCCUGGUAGUC
Molecule: ribosomal RNA, 460 nt
Filed under: uncultured bacterium
Lineage: Bacteria
Description: partial 16S ribosomal RNA
Rfam family: Bacterial small subunit ribosomal RNA
Source: RNAcentral